Molecule: ribosomal RNA, 468 nt
Filed under: uncultured bacterium
Lineage: Bacteria
Description: partial 16S ribosomal RNA
Rfam family: Bacterial small subunit ribosomal RNA
Source: RNAcentral
GACGAACGCUGGCGGCGUGCUUAACACAUGCAAGUCGAACGGAAAGGCCCUGCUUUUGUGGGGUGCUCGAGUGACGAACGGGUGAGUAACACGUGAGUAACCUGCCCUUGACUUUGGGAUAACUUCAGGAAACUGGGGCUAAUACCGGAUAGGAGCUCCUGCUGCAUGGUGGGGGUUGGAAAGUUUCGGCGGUUGGGGAUGGACUCGCGGCUUAUCAGCUUGUUGGUGGGGUAGUGGCUUACCAAGGCUUUGACGGGUAGCUGGCCUGAGAGGGUGACCGGCCACAUUGGGCCUGAGAUACGGCCCAGACUCCUACGGGAGGCAGCAGUGGGGAAUAUUGCACAAUGGGCGGAAGCCUGAUGCAGCAACGCCGCGUGCGGGAUGACGGCCUUCGGGUUGUAAACCGCUUUCGCCUGUGACGAAGCGUGAGUGACGGUAAUGGGUAAAGAAGCACCGGCUAACUACGUG